UGAUUGGUCAACAAAAAGUACGGUAAAAGUACAAAUUCUAUCACAGAGAGCAUAAUCAUACGUAGUAAUAAUAAGUGGAGAUAGAUCUGCAUGAUCUGAAGACUCACGAAGUGGCGAUGAACAGUAACAGAGUGCGAGGUGCGCAAUCGAAGACCCUGUAACUAAUCUGUUCGUGGUCGGUCGAGAAGAAAAGACCUUCCCUGGAGGCAAAGUGUAACGUCUAACCUUCACUGGGUCAUACGUUAUAGUCAUUCAAAACGCAAACAUUCUACUCGCACUACCAUGCCCCCUCCUCCGUACUCUUAUUUCUUCCUUCACACAAAACACGUAUUCAGUGGAGUUUAAUAAAAUUGCUUUCUCCA
Long non-coding RNA from Hylaeus volcanicus, 362 nucleotides. RefSeq lists it as uncharacterized. The transcript has 2 exons. The record is from RefSeq and is a predicted model, not a curated record. Lineage: Eukaryota; Metazoa; Arthropoda; Insecta; Hymenoptera; Colletidae.